CCACCGCGGUUAUACGAGAGGCUCAAGUUGACAGACAACGGCGUAAAGCGUGGUUAAGGAAAAUAUUUUACUAAAGCGGAACGCCCUCACAGCUGUUAUACGCUUCCGAGGGUAUGAACCCCAACUACGAAGGUGGCUUUACAUUACCUGAAUCCACGAAAGCUAAGAAACAAACUGGGAUUAGAUACCCCACUAUGCUUAGCCUUAAACAUUGAUCGUUUACCACAUCAAACAUCCGCCUGGGGAUUACGAACACUAGUUUAAAACCCAAAGGACUUGGCGGUGCUUAACAUCCACCUAGAGGAGCCUGUUCUAGAACCGAUAACCCCCGUUAAACCUCACCCUCCCUAGCUUUCUCCCGCCUAUAUACCACCGUCGCCAGCUUACCCUGUGAAGGCCUAAUAGUAAGCACAAUUGGCAUAGCCCAAAACGUCAGGUCGAGGUGUAGUGCAUGAGAGGGGAAGAAAUGGGCUACAUUCGCUGCCCGCCAGCGAACACGAAUGAUGCAUUGAAACAUGCAGCUGAAGGAGGAUUUAGCAGUAAGCAGAAAACAGAGUGUUCCGCUGAAACCGGCUCUUAAGCGCGCACACACCGCCCGUCACCCUCCCCAAGCACCUGGACCUAAAUUUUCUUUAAAACCCCACAACCGCGAAGGAGAGGAAAGUCGUAACAUGGUAAGCG
This 681-nucleotide ribosomal RNA is filed under the name Selene setapinnis (Atlantic moonfish). RNAcentral describes it as "partial 12S small subunit ribosomal RNA". It matches the Rfam family "Bacterial small subunit ribosomal RNA", at positions 512 to 1502 of the family's 1533-position model. The record is from RNAcentral. Lineage: Eukaryota; Metazoa; Chordata; Actinopteri; Carangiformes; Carangidae.